Molecule: ribosomal RNA, 1372 nt
Filed under: uncultured bacterium
Lineage: Bacteria
Description: bacterial SSU rRNA
Rfam family: Bacterial small subunit ribosomal RNA
Source: RNAcentral
GAUGAACGCUGGCGGCGUGCCUAAUACAUGCAAGUCGAGCGAACGGACGAGAAGCUUGCUUCUCUGAUGUUAGCGGCGGACGGGUGAGUAACACGUGGAUAACCUACCUAUAAGACUGGGAUAACUUCGGGAAACCGGAGCUAAUACCGGAUAAUAUUUUGAACCGCAUGGUUCAAAAGUGAAAGACGGUCUUGCUGUCACUUAUAGAUGGAUCCGCGCUGCAUUAGCUAGUUGGUAAGGUAACGGCUUACCAAGGCAACGAUGCAUAGCCGACCUGAGAGGGUGAUCGGCCACAUUGGAACUGAGACACGGUCCAGACUCCUACGGGAGGCAGCAGUAGGGAAUCUUCCGCAAUGGGCGAAAGCCUGACGGAGCAACGCCGCGUGAGUGAUGAAGGUCUUCGGAUCGUAAAACUCUGUUAUUAGGGAAGAACAUAUGUGUAAGUAACUGUGCACAUCUUGACGGUACCUAAUCAGAAAGCCACGGCUAACUACGUGCCAGCAGCCGCGGUAAUACGUAGGUGGCAAGCGUUAUCCGGAAUUAUUGGGCGUAAAGCGCGCGUAGGCGGUUUUUUAAGUCUGAUGUGAAAGCCCACGGCUCAACCGUGGAGGGUCAUUGGAAACUGGAAAACUUGAGUGCAGAAGAGGAAAGUGGAAUUCCAUGUGUAGCGGUGAAAUGCGCAGAGAUAUGGAGGAACACCAGUGGCGAAGGCGACUUUCUGGUCUGUAACUGACGCUGAUGUGCGAAAGCGUGGGGAUCAAACAGGAUUAGAUACCCUGGUAGUCCACGCCGUAAACGAUGAGUGCUAAGUGUUAGGGGGUUUCCGCCCCUUAGUGCUGCAGCUAACGCAUUAAGCACUCCGCCUGGGGAGUACGACCGCAAGGUUGAAACUCAAAGGAAUUGACGGGGACCCGCACAAGCGGUGGAGCAUGUGGUUUAAUUCGAAGCAACGCGAAGAACCUUACCAAAUCUUGACAUCCUUUGACAACUCUAGAGAUAGAGCUUUCCCCUUCGGGGGACAAAGUGACAGGUGGUGCAUGGUUGUCGUCAGCUCGUGUCGUGAGAUGUUGGGUUAAGUCCCGCAACGAGCGCAACCCUUAAGCUUAGUUGCCAUCAUUAAGUUGGGCACUCUAAGUUGACUGCCGGUGACAAACCGGAGGAAGGUGGGGAUGACGUCAAAUCAUCAUGCCCCUUAUGAUUUGGGCUACACACGUGCUACAAUGGACAAUACAAAGGGCAGCGAAACCGCGAGGUCAAGCAAAUCCCAUAAAGUUGUUCUCAGUUCGGAUUGUAGUCUGCAACUCGACUACAUGAAGCUGGAAUCGCUAGUAAUCGUAGAUCAGCAUGCUACGGUGAAUACGUUCCCGGGUCU